Molecule: non-coding RNA, 28 nt
Filed under: Rattus norvegicus (Norway rat)
Lineage: Eukaryota; Metazoa; Chordata; Mammalia; Rodentia; Muridae
Source: RNAcentral
UCAGUGUUCAGCAAAGGAUGUGGACUGA